This 424-nucleotide ribosomal RNA is filed under the name uncultured bacterium. RNAcentral's name for it is "partial 16S ribosomal RNA". It matches the Rfam family "Bacterial small subunit ribosomal RNA", at positions 359 to 774 of the family's 1533-position model. The record is from RNAcentral.
GAAUAUUGGACAAUGGGGGGAACCCUGAUCCAGCCAUGCCGCGUGUGUGAAGAAGGCCUUUUGUUUGUACAGCACUUUCUGCGAGGAGGAGGCUACUUAGAUUAAUACUCUAGGAUCGUGGACGUUACUCGCACCAGACGCACUGCCUACCUCUCUGCCAGCCGCCGCGGUAAUACAGAGGGUGCAAGAGUGAAGAGGAUUGACUGGGCGUAAAGCGAGAGGAGGGGGAAAAUUAAGGAAAAUGUGAAAACCCCGAGCUUAACUUGGGAAUUGCAUUGGAUACUGGUUGGCUAGAGUAUGGGAGAGGAUGGUAGAAUUACAGGUGUAGCGGUGAAAUGCGUAGAGAUCUGGAGGAAGACCGAUGGCGAAGGCAGCCAUCUGGCCUAAUACUGACACUGAGGUGCGAAAGCAUGGGGAGCAAACA